UCGAGCGAGUCUGCCUUGAAGAUCGGAGUGCUUGCACUCUGUGAAACAAGAUACAGGCUAGCGGCGGACGGGUGAGUAACACGUGGGUAACCUGCCCAAGAGAUCGGGAUAACACCUGGAAACAGAUGCUAAUACCGGAUAACAACAGAUGAUGCCUAUCAACUGUUUAAAAGAUGGUUCUGCUAUCACUCUUGGAUGGACCUGCGGUGCAUUAGCUAGUUGGUAGGGUAACGGCCUACCAAGGCGAUGAUGCAUAGCCGAGUUGAGAGACUGAUCGGCCACAUUGGGACUGAGACACGGCCCAAACUCCUACGGGAGGCAGCAGUAGGGAAUCUUCCACAAUGGACGCAAGUCUGAUGGAGCAACGCCGCGUGAGUGAAGAAGGGUUUCGGCUCGUAAAGCUCUGUUGUUGGUGAAGAAGGACAGGGGUAGUAACUGACCUUUGUUUGACGGUAAUCAAUUAGAAAGUCACGGCUAACUACGUGCCAGCAGCCGCGGUAAUACGUAGGUGGCAAGCGUUGUCCGGAUUUAUUGGGCGUAAAGCGAGUGCAGGCGGCUCCAUAAGUCUGAUGUGAAAGCCUUCGGCUCAACCGGAGAAUUGCAUCAGAAACUGUCGAGCUUGAGUACAGAAGAGGAGAGUGGAACUCCAUGUGUAGCGGUGAAAUGCGUAGAUAUAUGGAAGAACACCGGUGGCGAAGGCGGCUCUCUGGUCUGUUACUGACGCUGAGGCUCGAAAGCAUGGGUAGCGAACAGGAUUAGAUACCCUGGUAGUCCAUGCCG
Molecule: ribosomal RNA, 780 nt
Filed under: uncultured bacterium
Lineage: Bacteria
Description: bacterial SSU rRNA
Rfam family: Bacterial small subunit ribosomal RNA
Source: RNAcentral